CGCCUGCGUGUCAAUGGAUAAACUCUCUAAUCUAUCAAGGUGUUAACAAACAUCUCCCCAUGCGAUGACAUGGCACCAGGACAGAUUUAUUGUGAAGAUGAAAGCCCACAAGAGUGUGCACGGUUAUCAGACCAGAGGGGAGACUCGUCGUAUAGUCCUUUUACUUGCUCACUUUCCCAGUAAACUAGUAUUUUCCUCCCACAGUGGCACUAGCAGACCAAUAGGGAGACUUGUGAAGACCUAAAAGUCAUACGAAUACGUUAAAUAGGUACAGUGGUGCUGGCUGGCCAGCUGGACCAUCGUGAGGCAGGCGGGAAGAGUCAUCACCAUAAAGAAGACCAUUUUAAAUGUUUUGAGAUGAUAUGUGUUCUCUAAAUAUUGUUGUAUAGUCUUUCUAAUUAAGUACAUUAACUCUUCAAACUUUUACCAUUUAUUUCCCACUGGCAAAAUGUGUUAUCUAUGGUUUUACUUGUAUAUGUAUGUUCAUUCAUGAAAUGUGGUUAAUAUGCUGGUAAUUCUGUGUUGUUAAAGUUCAG
Cyprinus carpio carpio is the source of this 536-nucleotide long non-coding RNA. Lineage: Eukaryota; Metazoa; Chordata; Actinopteri; Cypriniformes; Cyprinidae. The record is from Ensembl.